GUUCUUUCGCGGACAUCCGAUAAAAUUGGAACAGUACAUAGAAGAUUAGCAUGGCCCUGCGCAAGGAUGACAAAUACAAAUAGAGAAAUGGUAAUGAAGUAC
Molecule: small nuclear RNA, 102 nt
Filed under: Marchantia polymorpha subsp. ruderalis
Lineage: Eukaryota; Viridiplantae; Streptophyta; Marchantiopsida; Marchantiales; Marchantiaceae
Source: RNAcentral